Molecule: ribosomal RNA, 252 nt
Filed under: uncultured bacterium
Lineage: Bacteria
Description: partial 16S ribosomal RNA
Rfam family: Bacterial small subunit ribosomal RNA
Source: RNAcentral
UACAGAGGGUGCAAGCGUUAAUCGGAAUUACUGGGCGUAAAGCGCGCGUAGGUGGUUUGUUAAGUCGGAUGUGAAAGCCCCGGGCUCAACCUGGGAAUUGCAUUCGAGACUGAAUAGCUAGGGUGCGGUAGAGGGAAGCGGAAUUUCCGGUGUAGCGGUGAAAUGCGUAGAUAUCGGAAGGAACAUCAGUGGCGAAAGCGGCUUCCUGGACCAGCACCGACGUUCAGGCACGAAAGCGUGGGAGCAAACAGG